Molecule: long non-coding RNA, 686 nt
Organism: Capsicum annuum
Lineage: Eukaryota; Viridiplantae; Streptophyta; Magnoliopsida; Solanales; Solanaceae
Exons: 3
Source: RefSeq, a predicted model, not a curated record
AUAGUGGGAUUAAGAAAGGAAAAAAGGGGAAAGAGGAAUAUUUCUCUGUGCAUUCCAGAACAACAACUAUACUAUCCUUUUGUCCUUCUUUCUUUCUUCAUCAAUUAAAAGGCAACCCAGGGGGGUUACGAAAAAGAUUGUAAUCGAAGGAGGAUACCUUCGUCCUUACGUAGUGUACGAGUUAAAAAGCUUUGUGGCAUCCUAAAGGAAUUUCAAGAAUUUGAUUUAUAAAUUCCUAGUUGAAAAACUAAAUCUCAGAAGCUAGUGAAUUGUCUAUUGGAUAACGGAGGUUGGUGGUUCGCGGGCUAAGUCAUUUGGACUGAAAUACUAUCGUAGCUAGUUAAGCAAUAAGGCUUCGACCCUCCCAAUACCAGACGUCUACGUUAGGCUCUAUUGCCGUUUUCAACUGAUAUUUUAAUGAUCUCCAACUCUCUCUGGAGCCGGUCUAUACCUAGUAUUUUUUGAUUAUAUGUACAGGUCUCUGGUUUGGCAUAACGGGCCUAAUGCCAACUAGUCACUUGUAGUAUAGUGUGUUAAUUGACUAGAGGCUUCAUGAACACCGUGUAGUAUUGCAUAGUUUUGUUAAUGUAACUCCCUCGUGUAUAUAUGUAAUGCUUAUUGAAUACCCUAUCUGUUAUUAUCUUAUGAACUCGCGUACGUCGUAAAAUGCUUGUAGAGUAAGUGUA